Molecule: long non-coding RNA, 1710 nt
Organism: Macaca fascicularis (crab-eating macaque)
Lineage: Eukaryota; Metazoa; Chordata; Mammalia; Primates; Cercopithecidae
Source: Ensembl
GGCCUCGCGCGCCCCGUCCUGGGAGACCGAUCUCGCCCUCGCGUUGGCGGCGUCCCCUGCCGGCCGGGCGGCGAUUUGCAGGCCCAGCCGGCGCCGGUUUCACGCGGCGGCUCAACGUUCGCGGAGCCCCACGAGUACCCACCCGCUGGUCAGAUCGGCGGCCGCUGCCGCGGGGAGAAGCAGUAGCGUGUAGGGCGGGCACGCUGGUCCUGCUUCCAGUUGGGCUUCGAUUUUACAUGUGAAGAAAGGAUGUCUCAGAGGAGUUAGAGAAGAGCAAUUAAUAGACAGUGCUAAAGCCUGGAUCUCCUGAAUCCUGGAUGAAAGUGUCAUAAGUUAGAUUCCUGGGAAGAAAAUUCUGAGACACAUUCUGCUGGAUGAUUAUUAGGGCUCAUCCUUGGUUUCAACACCCAUAGAAGGAAGGGGGAAGAAGGAAUCGAACAGAGGAGAGACAGAAGUCGAGAUGCAUUUCAGGCCAGGACUCUUGACUGAACCCACAGGAGCUUUGGAGCUAGAAUGGCCCUUCAGAGUUGUCCUGAGUUGGGCUGAGAUGGCCAGUUCUUUAUAUUCCUGCAUGGGAUAGUCACUGGAUGUCCACCCCAGGAAGCAGUGUGGCCAAGACAGUCCCUGAAAUGCCUGCCAGCACUCCCUAUACCUGGAGCAAUGAGACCAACAUCACAGGGGGAUAUACUGGGUGAGGAUCACAGCAUUCAUCCCAGAAGAUGAGGAUACAGAAUUGGCUGACUGCUACAUUCUAAAUGUCAAUGUUCCCCAAAAUUCAUAUGUUGAAACUUAAUUCCCCAAUGUGAUGGCAUUAGGAAAGGGGGCCUUUGGGAGGGGCUAUAGGUCAUGAGUGGGAUUAGUGUCCAGAGAGCUGCCUUGCCCUUCCACCAUGUGAGGACAUAGUGAGAAGGUGCCAUCUAUGAACGAGGAAGUGGGCGCUUACUACCAGACACCCACUCUUCGGGCAACUUAAUCUUGAAUUUCCCAGCAUCCAGAACUCUGAGAAAUCAAUUUCUGCUGAUUAUAAGCUACCCAGUCCAUAGCAUUUUGUUAAAGCAGCUGAAACUAAACUAAGACAGUGACGUUUUCUGCAACAAAAAGAUAGAGUGAGUCUCUAUAGCAUACCAUGUAACAGAUGUGUUUGGAAAAAUAACCUCAUUGCAUAUGUUUCCUCAAGCUAAAAAGAAUAUCAUAACAACAAAUGAGAAAAUAGUUGGUUUAGAAAUAUUGCACCCUAUGGAGAGAGUAUUUUGGAUUUGGUUUUUUUGUUUUGUUUUUAACUUUUGUUUUAGGUUCAGGGGCACAUAUGCAGGCUGGUUAUAUAGGUAAACUCAUGUCACAGGGAUUUGUUGUACAGAUAAUUUCAUCACCCAGGUACUAAGCCUAGUACCCAAUAGUUGCUCUUUUUCCUCCUCUCCCUCCUCCCACCCUCCACCCUCAAAUAGGCCCCAGUUUGUGUUGUUCCUUUCAUUAUGUUCAUGAAGUUGAGAGAGUGUUUUGAAAAAGAAUGUUGGAAAGCAUUUCCACUGUUAGAUGAUUUUAAGUCAAAAAGUUAUAUAACAGUGUCACCUAUCUAGAUGCACACAAGCAUGGACACAGAAUUGUUUCAUAUGUUUAAAACUUUUCUAGAUCCUUUUGUGGUUCAUAAGCUUGAUGAUUGAGUUUUCACGUCCAUGUGUGAGAUGUGCCUCCCUUGAGCCUUGUUACAAC